Molecule: ribosomal RNA, 503 nt
Filed under: Escherichia coli
Lineage: Bacteria; Pseudomonadati; Pseudomonadota; Gammaproteobacteria; Enterobacterales; Enterobacteriaceae
Description: partial 23S ribosomal RNA
Rfam family: Bacterial large subunit ribosomal RNA
Source: RNAcentral
CGGGACACGUGGUAUCCUGUCUGAAUAUGGGGGGACCAUCCUCCAAGGCUAAAUACUCCUGACUGACCGAUAGUGAACCAGUACCGUGAGGGAAAGGCGAAAAGAACCCCGGCGAGGGGAGUGAAAAAGAACCUGAAACCGUGUACGUACAAGCAGUGGGAGCACGCUUAGGCGUGUGACUGCGUACCUUUUGUAUAAUGGGUCAGCGACUUAUAUUCUGUAGCAAGGUUAACCGAAUAGGGGAGCCGAAGGGAAACCGAGUCUUAACUGGGCGUUAAGUUGCAGGGUAUAGACCCGAAACCCGGUGAUCUAGCCAUGGGCAGGUUGAAGGUUGGGUAACACUAACUGGAGGACCGAACCGACUAAUGUUGAAAAAUUAGCGGAUGACUUGUGGCUGGGGGUGAAAGGCCAAUCAAACCGGGAGAUAGCUGGUUCUCCCCGAAAGCUAUUUAGGUAGCGCCUCGUGAAUUCAUCUCCGGGGGUAGAGCACUGUUUCGGCAAGG